UGGGAGGCAGCAGUGGGGAAUAUUGGGCAAUGGGCGCAAGCCUGACCCAGCAACGCCGCGUGAGGGAAGAAGGUCUUCGGAUUGUAAACCUCUGUCCUUGGGGACGAAAAAAAUGACGGUACCCAAGGAGGAAGCUCCGGCUAACUACGUGCUAGCAGCCGCGGUAAUACGUAGGGAGCGAGCGUUGUCCGGAAUUACUGGGCGUAAAGGGUGCGUAGGCGGCGAUGCAAGUCAGAUGUGAAAUCCCCGGGCUCAACUCGGGGGGUGCAUUUGAAACUGCAUUGCUUGAGUGCAGGAGAGGAAAGCGGAAUUCCUAGUGUAGCGGUGAAAUGCGUAGAUAUUAGGAAGAACACCAGUGGCGAAGGCGGCUUUCUGGACUGUAACUGACGCUGAGGCACGAAAGCGUGGGGAGCAAACAGGAUUAGAUACCCCGGUGGUCCA
RNAcentral lists this ribosomal RNA (441 nucleotides) under uncultured bacterium. RNAcentral's name for it is "bacterial SSU rRNA". It matches the Rfam family "Bacterial small subunit ribosomal RNA", at positions 342 to 797 of the family's 1533-position model. The record is from RNAcentral.